UCGGUCUGAUGGAAACUGGCGCACGGGUGAGUAACGCGUGGGAACAUGCCCAAGGGUACGGAAUAACAGCUGGAAACGGCUGCUAAUACCGUAUGUCCCCUGAGGGGGAAAGAUUUAUCGCCCUUGGAUUGUCCCGCGUCCGAUUAGCUUGUUGGUGAGGUAAUGGCUCACCAAGGCGACGAUCGGUAGCUGGUCUGAGAGGAUGAUCAGCCACACUGGGACUGAGACACGGCCCAGACUCC
RNAcentral lists this ribosomal RNA (242 nucleotides) under uncultured bacterium. RNAcentral's name for it is "partial 16S ribosomal RNA". It matches the Rfam family "Bacterial small subunit ribosomal RNA", at positions 80 to 339 of the family's 1533-position model. The record is from RNAcentral.